GGUAACGCCAGGCGGGGAGCGGGGGUAGUAAGGGGGAGGGUGAGUGUGUUCGGAUAUACUGGGCGUAAAGCGCACGUAGGGGGCGUGGUAAGUGAGGGGUGAAAUCCCGGAGCUCAACUCCGGAACUGCCCUUGAAACUGCAAUGCUAGAAGCUUGGAGAGGCGAGUGGAAUUCCGAGUGUAGAGGGGAAAUUCGUAGAUAUUCGGAAGAACACCAGUGGCGAAGGCGACUCGCUGGACAAGUAUUGACGCUGAGGUGCGAAAGCGUGGGGAGCAAACAGGAUUAGAUACCCUUGUAGUC
This 300-nucleotide ribosomal RNA is filed under the name uncultured Bacillus sp. Its description in RNAcentral is "bacterial SSU rRNA". The stretch from base 52 to 300 matches the Rfam family "Bacterial small subunit ribosomal RNA", at positions 547 to 795 of the family's 1533-position model. The record is from RNAcentral. Lineage: Bacteria; Bacillati; Bacillota; Bacilli; Caryophanales; Bacillaceae.